Herpailurus yagouaroundi (jaguarundi) is the source of this 2109-nucleotide long non-coding RNA. RefSeq lists it as uncharacterized. NCBI's taxonomy places the organism in Eukaryota, Metazoa, Chordata, Mammalia, Carnivora, Felidae. The transcript is spliced from 5 exons. The record is from RefSeq and is a predicted model, not a curated record.
CCUCGCGGGCUGGGAAUCUCCUGCCAGCGGGACUUCGGUUCGCCAAUCGCUGCACUGUGAUUUGGGCCGGGAUCGUUUCCACGUGCGCCUUUUGAGUCGAACUUGGCCGUGGCGCGGCCAGACGUUUCUCCUCACCCUGCCCAGCAGGUUGCAUGAAACACGUGCACUUAUUUUACCCGCGAUAAGACGCUCUGCUGGCAUCAAGCAAGCAGGAUCUUGAAAACUCACUUUUCCAGUGAAAGAAUCCCUGCAUCAAAGGGAAACUGAAUCUGAAAUGAAGACCCAGGCACCCAGAACAUAGCUUCUCUGUAAUGUUCUAACACUGGGGGGAUCCGUUCUGAGACCAACAGUCCGAUACAUAUUUCUGCCUUUUUUCUCAGGCUCCCUUGACGUUAAUUCUGUCAUCACUCUAAUCAAGGAGCUCUGUAAUGAUUGGCCUGUGUGUUUGUAAGAAAUUUCAAGACUGGGAGCCAACCUGAAGCAUACCUGUUGCCCCUGAGUCAGCACAGUGCCUGGAACUUGGUGUCCAGGAGGGAUUCAAAAUACAUUGUUUGAGCGAGAGAGUGUGCCAGAAGCUACGUGGAUCAAAGGCCAGUUAUUACUGUACCUGUUAACUCUUUAUCGGUGAUAGAAAGUGAAAGAUGGGUGAACAUAGGUAUCUCCACAUGCAGAGGUUGGGGAAGAUAUUGAGAUCAAGGACAUAGUGGAAAUUACCCAGGAUCUGAAAGCUAAUGGUAGCUACAUGAGGUGGAAACUUGGGGCUCAUUGAUGAUAACACCCCAGAAAGUCUGCAGUGGAGGCCGACCCUGCUUAACUUGCCCCCAGCAGUCCUAUUUGUUCCCCUUCCAUUUUCUGCUGUUUCGCCUCCACCAUUUCAUCCACCAUUUCAUCGUGUCUGCCAGCAUUUCAGAAGCCCUCUUCCCAGGAUUCUGUCCCCUGCUUCUUUGGCACAGUGUUGCUAUAUUCAACACUGGUUCUGGUUGUGGCAGAUGAAAGUUGACUGUUUUGCGUCCUUCUGAAGGAACAGAGUAAUUAUGAUUUAUAACUCUUUCAUGACUUUUGAUGAUUGUGGAUCCUGAGGAAGGUCCUUGGCUGCAGAGCUGGUUUCCUUGUGCAAGAACCCUAUUCUUAAAACAAACAAACAAACAAACAAACAAAAACCCUAUUUUUGACAGGACGCCCUUCUCUUCCACAAAGGUAUCAGACCUGCCUAGGAGGAAAGAUAGCUUCCUUAUCAAUGACACUGAGCACCCACAGGCCCGGACACCAGGAGACCAGUUCCCCCAGCGGCAAAACAGGUUUCUCAGGGUCACCGAGCUGUUCCACAAAUUUCAUAGGCUCCUUAGAUAAAGAUAACAAGGCACAUGCAAAUGAUGUUUGGCAUCAAUUUGGGAAAAGGAAAACAGCUGCAUCCCUUCUUUCAGAGUAAAAGCUUUGAGUACCCCCAGUAAAAUCAGCCUGUGUGGAAAGAUGCACCUUUAGUGAGCACUAUGGUAGAGUAGCUAUGACCAGGGGUUCUGAGCCGAGCACUUUCUCUGAAAUUUGAUAUUGUUAAGAAAACAACAUUUCCUUUUCUUUUUUUCCAUCUUCCUUUGGGUUACUUACUUCAAGGCAAGAUAAAAAAUUACUGGUUUUGUUCUUUUUCCCAAAGUACAAUAUUGUAUCUCCUAGUAGAGGACACCAAUUAGACUCUUAGCUUCUGAAGUUCACUUUAACUUUGAUCAAAUAGCUUUUUCUACCAGCCUACAUCUCAAAGGAAGUAUCCUGGAUUUGUUGCUUUGGAUGAACUUUGUGAUGUCUGUAAUUCUUAAAAUCCUCAUAAAGGAAUCCUACUUGGUUUUUUGUUUCUUUGUUUCUUAGCUACUAUAACAGAAGACCCAAUAAAAGCUCUUCGAGGGCCUACCAUGUUUCAGGUCUUUUGCUUAUCUUGCUGAUAAUUGUCAUACAAUUCCUAUGACAUAAGUACCGUUACUCCAAUUUCACAAAUGAGGAUAUUGAAGCCCAGAAAGAUAGAUACGUUGGCCCUGACACGUGAGUAGAGUGGCAGAGCUGACAUUUAGGACUGCAGUCACAAUCCAUUGACUGCAUUGGUCAGCGUAUCCUGACAUU